GGGGCCUACGGGGGGCAGCAGUGAGGAAUAUUGGUCAAUGGGCGGGAGCCUGAACCAGCCAAGCCGCGUGAGGGAAGAAGGUACAGCGUAUCGUAAACCUCUUUUGUCAGGGAACAAAGGCGGGGACUAGUCCCCGGAUGAGGGUACCUGAAGAAAAAGCAUCGGCUAACUCCGUGCCAGCAGCCGCGGUAAUACGGAGGAUGCGAGCGUUAUCCGGAUUUAUUGGGUUUAAAGGGUGCGUAGGCGGUCCGGCAAGUACGCGGUAAAAGCCCGGGGCUCAACCCCGGCGUGCCGUUGAAACUGGG
Molecule: ribosomal RNA, 305 nt
Filed under: uncultured bacterium
Lineage: Bacteria
Description: bacterial SSU rRNA
Rfam family: Bacterial small subunit ribosomal RNA
Source: RNAcentral